RNAcentral lists this ribosomal RNA (440 nucleotides) under uncultured bacterium. RNAcentral's name for it is "partial 16S ribosomal RNA". It matches the Rfam family "Bacterial small subunit ribosomal RNA", at positions 338 to 795 of the family's 1533-position model. The record is from RNAcentral.
CCUACGGGUGGCAGCAGUGGGGAAUAUUGCACAAUGGGGGAAACCCUGAUGCAGCAACGCCGCGUGCGUGAAGAAGUAUUUCGGUAUGUAAAGCUCUAUCAGCAGGGAAGAAAAUGACAGUACCUGACUAAUAAGACACGGCUAACUACGUGCCAGCAGCCGCGGGAAUACGUAGGGGGCAAGCGUUAUCCGGAUUUACUGGGUGGAAAGGGAGCGUAGACGGCUGCGCAAGUCAGAAGGGAAAGCCCGGGGCUCAACCGCGGGACUGCUUUUGAAACUGUGUAGCUAGAGUGAGGGAGAGGUAAGUGGAAUUCCUAGUGUAGCGGUGAAAUGCGUAGAUAUCACGAAGAACACCGAUUGCGAAGGCAGCUUACUAAACUUCCACUGACGUUGAGGCUCGAAAGUGUGGGUAUCAAACAGGAUUAGAUACCCGGGUAGUC